CUCCCCCGUUGCAAAUUCUGGAAUUUUUAGUAUCGGUUCCAGAUCUCUUUCGAUUUUGGGGAUGAUUUCAAAAUUUGAGAUUUUGAAAUGUCUUGGUCCUUAUCCGAAAUUUCCCUAGGUUUUCCCCCCAUUUUACUAACCCUAAUAUUUCCCUAUAUAAUAUCUGUUUUGUCAUUUUGAGGGGGAGAGAUUCUUCUGUUGGAAAAAAAGGCGAGAAGAGAAAGUUGAAUUUUUCUUUAGAAAUUAGCAUAGUGAAGAAGCUAAAGAAGUACACACGAAACACAUUCUAGGAAAGGAAGAGUUACUUGGUUUCGAUCUGAGAGUCCCUAUAUCAUCUCGUUUACCAUUGUUUUACCCAAGUUUCUUCGAGACUCUGCUUUGUUUUCUGGUCGGUAGUUCAUGUUCAAGUUUUGUGGCGUGGAAUUCGUUGCACGUUCUUCGCUCGUCUUGUUCGGUAUCGCUGCACCAAAAGAGGUGUCUUCGGACUUCAAACUCCGGAUUUCAAAUGGAAAAGGGAAUCUUAUCACUUCAGCCGGGUACGCAUUUGGGCCCCAUCGUGAAGUUAUUGCCCCUUCUUCUUGCAUUAUUGUUUCUGGAAUCUGAUUCAACAUCCUUUAUCUUAUCUUUUUUCUUGAAUACGACGCGUCCCAACAGUUUUUCCACAUGUGUGGUAGUGAGUAAAGUGGG
RNAcentral lists this unclassified non-coding RNA (687 nucleotides) under Hevea brasiliensis (rubber tree). Lineage: Eukaryota; Viridiplantae; Streptophyta; Magnoliopsida; Malpighiales; Euphorbiaceae. The record is from RNAcentral.